AUAAAAGAGACGUUGCCCUUCGGGGUAUACCUCCCACCCUUUGUUUAUUUAUACCUUUGUUGCUUUGGCAGACCCGGCUUCGGCCCACCGGCUCCGGCUGGUCAGUGUCUGCCAGAGGACCUAAAACUCUGUUUGUUAAUAUUGUCUGAGUACUAUAUAAUAGUUAAAACUUUCAACAACGGAUCUCUUGGUUCUGGCAUCGAUGAAGAACGCAGCGAAAUGCGAUAAGUAAUGUGAAUUGCAGAAUUCAGUGAAUCAUCGAAUCUUUGAACGCACAUUGCGCCCUCUGGUAUUCCGGGGGGCAUGCCUGUUCGAGCGUCAUUACAACCCUCAAGCUUUGCUUGGUAUUGGACAUUGCCAGUUUCUGGGCAGGGUCUUUAAAAAUUCAGUGGGCGGGUUGCCCAUUUUGGGCUUUCCAGGCGUAAUUUAAUUCCUUUCUCCGGCCUUUUGGGAAGAUCCCAAGGUGGGUUACUUUGGCCAAUAAACCCCCCAAUUUU
Molecule: ribosomal RNA, 497 nt
Filed under: Thelebolus microsporus
Lineage: Eukaryota; Fungi; Ascomycota; Leotiomycetes; Thelebolales; Thelebolaceae
Description: eukaryotic LSU rRNA
Rfam family: 5.8S ribosomal RNA (bases 168-321)
Source: RNAcentral